Molecule: ribosomal RNA, 468 nt
Filed under: uncultured bacterium
Lineage: Bacteria
Description: partial 16S ribosomal RNA
Rfam family: Bacterial small subunit ribosomal RNA
Source: RNAcentral
GACGAACGCUGGCGGCGUGCUUAACACAUGCAAGUCGAACGGAAAGGCCCUGCCUUUGUGGGGUGCUCGAGUGGCGAACGGGUGAGUAACACGUGAGUAACCUGCCCUUGACUUUGGGAUAACUUCAGGAAACUGGGGCUAAUACCGGAUAGGAGCUCCUGCUGCAUGGUGGGGGUUGGAAAGUUUCGGCGGUUGGGGAUGGACUCGCGGCUUAUCAGCUUGUUGGUGGGGUAGUGGCUUACCAAGGCUUUGACGGGUAGCCGGCCUGAGAGGGUGACCGGCCACAUUGGGACUGAGAUACGGCCCAGACUCCUACGGGGGGCAGCAGUGGGGAGUAUUGCACAAUGGGCGGAAGCCUGUUGCAGCAACGCCGCGUGCGGGAUGACGGCCUUCGGGUUGUAAACCGCUUUCGCCUGUGACGAAGCGUGAGUGACGGUAAUGAGUAAAGAAGCACCGGCUAACUACGUG